This 91-nucleotide small nucleolar RNA is filed under the name Chlorocebus sabaeus (green monkey). RNAcentral describes it as "Small nucleolar RNA U13". It matches the Rfam family "Small nucleolar RNA U13". The record is from Rfam by way of RNAcentral. Lineage: Eukaryota; Metazoa; Chordata; Mammalia; Primates; Cercopithecidae.
AUCCUUUUGUAGUUCACAGCAUGAUGACUGGGUUUUUCCGUUCAUGUGUGAGAUGCGCCCCUUCAAACCUUUUCACGAUAUCUGGUGGAUU